AUGCACGAAAGUGUGGUAAGGGAAUCCCAAGUGCUCAACUUAUGGUUGGGCUUUUGUCAAGUGUAAAUAGCUUGGCGAAUAAGUGGUGGGUAAGACGGGUGCCAGCCGCCGCGGUAACACCUGCGCCACAAGUGGCAAUCACGAUUAUUGGGCCUAAAGCGUCCGUAGUUGGACAAGUAAAUUUUCUGUGAAAUCGUCGGACUCAAUUCGACGAAUUGCAAAAAAGACUGCUUGUCUUGAGACCGGGAGGGGUCAGAGGUAUUGUUAGGGGACUGGUAAAAUGGGAUAAUCCUAACAAGACCACCAGUGGCGAAGGCGUCUGACCAGAACGGCUCUGACAAUGAGGGACGAAAGCCAGGGGAGCGAACGGGAUUAGAUACCCCGGUAGUCCUGGCCGUAAACGCUGCGAGCUAGGUGUUGCACAUUCUUCGAGAAUGUGCAGUGUCGAAACGAAGGUGUUAAGCUCGCCGCCUGGGAAGUACGGUCGCAAGGCUGAAACUUUAAGGAAUUGGCGGGGGAGCAC
RNAcentral lists this ribosomal RNA (523 nucleotides) under uncultured archaeon. RNAcentral describes it as "bacterial SSU rRNA". It matches the Rfam family "Archaeal small subunit ribosomal RNA", at positions 355 to 879 of the family's 1478-position model. The record is from RNAcentral.